Molecule: ribosomal RNA, 435 nt
Filed under: uncultured bacterium
Lineage: Bacteria
Description: bacterial SSU rRNA
Rfam family: Bacterial small subunit ribosomal RNA
Source: RNAcentral
AUUGAACGCUGGCGGAAUGCUUUACACAUGCAAGUCGAACGGCAGCACGGGGCAACCUGGUGGCGAGUGGCGAACGGGUGAGUAAUACAUCGGAACGUGCCCAAUCGUGGGGGAUAACGUAGCGAAAGUUACGCUAAUACCGCAUACGAUCUACGGAUGAAAGCGGGGGAUCGCAUGACCUCGCGCGAAUGGAGCGGCCGAUGUCAGAUUAGGUAGUUGGUGGGGUAAAGGCUCACCAAGCCGACGAUCUGUAGCUGGUCUGAGAGGACGACCAGCCACACUGGGACUGAGACACGGCCCAGACUCCUACGGGAGGCAGCAGUGGGGAAUUUUGGACAAUGGGCGCAAGCCUGAUCCAGCCAUUCCGCGUGCAGGAUGAAGGCCUGGUUGUAACUAGCUUUGUUACGGUACGAAAAAGGACUCUCUCUAAUACAG